RNAcentral lists this ribosomal RNA (372 nucleotides) under uncultured bacterium. Its description in RNAcentral is "bacterial SSU rRNA". It matches the Rfam family "Bacterial small subunit ribosomal RNA", at positions 1135 to 1506 of the family's 1533-position model. The record is from RNAcentral.
UCACUCUAGCGAGACUGCCGUUGACAAAACGGAGGAAGGUGGGGACGACGUCAAAUCAUCAUGCCCCUUAUGUCCUGGGCUACACACGUAAUACAAUGGCGGUCAACAGAGGGAUGCAAAGCCGUAAGGUGGAGCGAACCCCUAAAAGCCGUCCCAGUUCAGAUCGUGGGCUGCAACCCGCCCACGUGAAGUCGGAAUCGCUAGUAAUCGCGGAUCAGCAUGCCGCGGUGAAUACGUUCCCGGGCCUUGUACACACCGCCCGUCACACCAUGAGAGUCGGGAACACCCGAAGCCCGUAGCCUAACCGAAAGGAGGGCGCGGUCGAAGGUGGGUUCGAUAAUUGGGGUGAAGUCGUAACAAGGUAACCGUAAA